UGCAAGUCGAACGAUGACCCCCAGCUUGCUGGGGUGAUUAGUGGCGAACGGGUGAGUAACACGUGAGUAACCUGCCCCUGACUCUGGGAUAAGCCCGGGAAACUGGGUCUAAUACUGGAUAUGCACCGUGGACCGCAUGGUCCUUGGUGGAAAGAUUUUUUGGUCAGGGAUGGACUCGCGGCCUAUCAGCUUGUUGGUGAGGUAAUGGCUCACCAAGGCGACGACGGGUAGCCGGCCUGAGAGGGUGACCGGCCACACUGGGACUGAGACACGGCCCAGACUCCUACGGGAGGCAGCAGUGGGGAAUAUUGCACAAUGGGCGAAAGCCUGAUGCAGCGACGCCGCGUGAGGGAUGACGGCCUUCGGGUUGUAAACCUCUUUCAGUAGGGAAGAAGCGAAAGUGACGGUACCUGCAGAAGAAGCGCCGGCUAACUACGUGCCAGCAGCCGCGGUAAUACGUAGGGCGCAAGCGUUAUCCGGAAUUAUUGGGCGUAAAGAGCUCGUAGGCGGUUUGUCGCGUCUGCCGUGAAAGUCCGAGGCUCAACCUCGGAUCUGCGGUGGGUACGGGCAGACUAGAGUGAUGUAGGGGAGACUGGAAUUCCUGGUGUAGCGGUGAAAUGCGCAGAUAUCAGGAGGAACACCGAUGGCGAAGGCAGGUCUCUGGGCAUUAACUGACGCUGAGGAGCGAAAGCAUGGGGAGCGAACAGGAUUAGAUACCCUGGUAGUCCAUGCCGUAAACGUUGGGCACUAGGUGUGGGGGACAUUCCACGUUUUCCGCGC
This 780-nucleotide ribosomal RNA is filed under the name Paeniglutamicibacter kerguelensis. RNAcentral describes it as "bacterial SSU rRNA". It matches the Rfam family "Bacterial small subunit ribosomal RNA", at positions 56 to 846 of the family's 1533-position model. Lineage: Bacteria; Bacillati; Actinomycetota; Actinomycetes; Micrococcales; Micrococcaceae. The record is from RNAcentral.